Molecule: non-coding RNA, 57 nt
Organism: Bos taurus (domestic cattle)
Lineage: Eukaryota; Metazoa; Chordata; Mammalia; Artiodactyla; Bovidae
Source: Rfam
UAGCUCAGUUGGUGAAGAAUCUGCCUGCAAUGCAGGAGACCCAGGUUUGAUUCCUGG